AUGAACGCUGGCGGCGUGCCUAAUACAUGCAAGUCGAGCGAACAGAUAAGGAGCUUGCUCCUUUGACGUUAGCGGCGGACGGGUGAGUAACACGUGGGUAACCUACCUAUAAGACUGGGAUAACUUCGGGAAACCGGAGCUAAUACCGGAUAACAUUUGGAACCGCAUGGUUCUAAAGUGAAAGAUGGUUUUGCUAUCACUUAUAGAUGGACCCGCGCCGUAUUAGCUAGUUGGUAAGGUAACGGCUUACCAAGGCGACGAUACGUAGCCGACCUGAGAGGGUGAUCGGCCACCCUGGAACUGAGACACGGUCCAGACUCCUACGGGAGGCAGCAGUAGGGAAUCUUCCGCAAUGGGCGAAAGCCUGACGGAGCAACGCCGCGUGAGUGAUGAAGGGUUUCGGCUCGUAAAACUCUGUUAUUAGGGAAGAACAAAUGUGUAAGUAACUGUGCACGUCUUGACGGUACCUAAUCAGAAAGCCACGGCUAACUACGUG
Molecule: ribosomal RNA, 496 nt
Filed under: uncultured bacterium
Lineage: Bacteria
Description: partial 16S ribosomal RNA
Rfam family: Bacterial small subunit ribosomal RNA
Source: RNAcentral